GAUGAACGCUAGCGAUAGGCCUAACACAUGCAAGUCGAGGGGCAUCACAUGAGGCAGCAAUGCCGAUGGUGGCGACCGGCGCACGGGUGAGUAACACGUAUGCAACCUGCCUUCAACAAGGGGAUAACCCGUUGAAAAACGGACUAAUACCCUAUAAUACAGGGGUCCCGCAUGGGGAUAUUUGUUAAAGAUUGAUCGGUUGAAGAUGGGCAUGCGUUCCAUUAGCUGGUUGGUGAGGUAACGGCUCACCAAGGCAACGAUGGAUAGGGGAACUGAGAGGUUUAUCCCCCACACUGGUACUGAGACACGGACCAGACUCCUACGGGAGGCAGCAGUGAGGAAUAUUGGUCAAUGGACGCAAGUCUGAACCAGCCACGUCGCGUGAAGGAAGACGGCCCUACGGGUUGUAAACUUCUUUUGUAAAGGGAAUAAAGUGUAGUACGCGUACUAUUUUGCAUGUACCUUACGAAUAGGAUCGGCUAACUCCGUGCCAGCAGCC
Molecule: ribosomal RNA, 499 nt
Filed under: uncultured bacterium
Lineage: Bacteria
Description: bacterial SSU rRNA
Rfam family: Bacterial small subunit ribosomal RNA
Source: RNAcentral